Molecule: long non-coding RNA, 553 nt
Organism: Andrographis paniculata
Lineage: Eukaryota; Viridiplantae; Streptophyta; Magnoliopsida; Lamiales; Acanthaceae
Exons: 3
Source: RefSeq, a predicted model, not a curated record
CAGGUUGUUAGGGAGGCAAAUGUUGGAGAUGAAACGGGACGAUAAUUAUAAAUAAUCUUCUGCAGGGUUGUUCGGUGAUCUAUUAAAGAACUCAUGGUUCAUGGUACUUGUACUAUUACAAAUACAAUGGAAUUAUGGAGGAGAUGUUGGAAGAAGUGACAACUACCCUCGAAGAUGUGCAGGAUGGAAUGAAACAUAUAGAAGAGGGAACGUCCAAACUUGGGGGCAAUGACUAUAGCAAGGGCGAGGAGUUUCUAAGCUUAGUCUCAUGUGAUAUGAAAAGAAUGUAUAUUCGGAUUGGGGUCGUUGGCAUCGACAGUGCCUACUGAAUGAUCGUUGUUCGGUAGCGACUGUCGCACCCCUAUAGUUGAGCCUACAAGUAGGUAAUGCAUAAUGAUUAUUAAGCGGGAGCAACAAAUUCUAAGGAAACAAAAUAUGACCAGCAUGGUACAGUUCAGAAGAUUCAGACUCACUUAGACCGCCGUGACCCGAACGGUGAUACCGGUGCUCCCCCGGUCGCAUGAUGUAUUCUUGUUUUAUAUUUCGUUUAGUU